GCAUGGUUCCGCCGUUACCGGGCCAUUUUUACAAGUGCCAAUGAUAAUGACAUGGUGCUCGCUGCCUAAUUGAAUAGGUAAGCGCGGUCCGGGGGGCGCCGGGCAACAGAAGCCCCCCAAA
This 121-nucleotide transfer-messenger RNA is filed under the name Alphaproteobacteria bacterium. RNAcentral's name for it is "partial transfer-messenger RNA". It matches the Rfam family "Alphaproteobacteria transfer-messenger RNA", at positions 196 to 355 of the family's 355-position model. Rfam says of the family: Bacterial tmRNA, also known as 10Sa RNA or SsrA, is named for its dual tRNA and mRNA-like properties. Its role is to liberate the mRNA from a stalled ribosome. The record is from RNAcentral. Lineage: Bacteria; Pseudomonadati; Pseudomonadota; Alphaproteobacteria.